RNAcentral lists this ribosomal RNA (263 nucleotides) under uncultured Staphylococcus sp. Its description in RNAcentral is "partial 16S ribosomal RNA". It matches the Rfam family "Bacterial small subunit ribosomal RNA", at positions 99 to 355 of the family's 1533-position model. The record is from RNAcentral. Lineage: Bacteria; Bacillati; Bacillota; Bacilli; Caryophanales; Staphylococcaceae.
CGGACGGGUGAGUAACACGUGGAUAACCUACCUAUAAGACUGGGAUAACUUCGGGAAACCGGAGCUAAUACCGGAUAAUAUAUUGAACCGCAUGGUUCAAUGGUGAAAGACGGUUUUGCUGUCACUUAUAGAUGGAUCCGCGCCGCAUUAGCUAGUUGGUAAGGUAACGGCUUACCAAGGCAACGAUGCGUAGCCGACCUGAGAGGGUGAUCGGCCACACUGGAACUGAGACACGGUACAGACUCCUACGGGAGGCAGCAGCU